RNAcentral lists this ribosomal RNA (465 nucleotides) under uncultured bacterium. RNAcentral's name for it is "bacterial SSU rRNA". It matches the Rfam family "Bacterial small subunit ribosomal RNA", at positions 338 to 795 of the family's 1533-position model. The record is from RNAcentral.
CCUACGGGUUGCACCAGUGGGGAAUAUUGCACAAUGGGCGCAAGCCUGAUGCAGCCAUGCCGCGUGUGUGAAGAAGGACUUCGGGUUGUAAAGCACUUUCAGCGGGGAGGAAGGCGAUAAGGUUAAUAACCUUGUCGAUUGACGUUACCCGCAGAAGAAGCACCGGCUAACUCCGUGCCAGCAGCCGCGGUAAUACGGAGGGUGCAAGCGCUAAUCGGAAUUACUGGGCGUAAAGCGCACGCAGGCGGUCUGUCAAGUCGGAUGUGAAAUCCCCGGGCUCAACCUGGGAACUGCAUUCGAGACUGGCAGGCUAGAGUCUUGUAGAGGGGGGUAGAAUUCCAGGUGUAGCGGUGAAAUGCGUAGAGAUCUGGAGGAAUACCGGUGGCGAAGGCGGCCCCCUGGACAAAGACUGACGCUCAGGUGCGAAAGCGUGGGGAGCAAACAGGAUUAGAUACCUCCGUAGUC